UAGGUUGUGUCUCCUAUGUUGUCUAUUGUUGCUAACAAAACUUAGUUUUGAUUUCUGUGGCUUAAAUCAUGUAGAGCACCCAUAUAGCUUUUAUUAAAUCGAUGGUAGCACACAGUGGAAAUAUGACCUAUCUUUCCGCAUACCUGUUAUAUAGGUUUGUUGCCUCCUCCAAAUCGAUUUCCUCUUCCUCUGGAUCCUCUGCCUCUGCUGCUAUUAUUUGUUGUUCUUCCUCCUAAAAAGUACUAAUCAUUGUUUCUGCUAUUGAAGUUUCUAUUCCUGGCAUAGUUAACAACAAGUUGUCCAAGAUUCAAGGUAGUCAUGCCAGUGUUUAGCUACUAUAAUCUCCUUUCGUAACUCAAUAGUUUUGACUAAAUUUCUAUCAAGCUAAUCAUUUUCUUUUUAGUGAUUUAACAUAUUAGAGGUUUGUAAUCUUGAGAAUCAAGUCUAGCU
This 450-nucleotide long non-coding RNA is filed under the name Carica papaya (papaya). RNAcentral describes it as "long non-coding RNA (CPAP_LNC015957)". The record is from RNAcentral. Lineage: Eukaryota; Viridiplantae; Streptophyta; Magnoliopsida; Brassicales; Caricaceae.